UGCCCAAUGAGCAGCGUGGAACCCUAAGCUUGCGGCGGAGGGGCGCGGGGCGUGGCGCGGGGGAAGGCAGGGCGGAUGGGGAGCUGGUUUCCUGGGGGUCUUAGUACGGUUCGGUACCGGGUCCCGCCACGGACCCAGCUUCCUGGGGCCGAAUUCUUUUUGGGGGCGGUUGCACGGAAUAAAGAACGGCUGGGACCGGCUCCCGUCUUCCCUUCCCCGUGGGGUUGGGCAUAGGGCGGCUCCAGGGCGGGAACUGCGAGGUCGGGCAGAGGCGAGUUUUUCCUCGCGCCUCGGUGGGUGCGCGGCGGGAAGGCUGCGCGGUGCUUACCCGGGAGGCGCGAGUUCACGGCCCGCGGGCCUCCUUACUCGUUCCCGCUGUCCCCCACCCACACCCUCCGCUUGCCCCGUUUUCUCUUUCAAGUUUUCAUAUCGGCGAUUUUGGCUCCUUGUCGGUACCCUGAAAUACGCCCAUGUCACCCUCUGACUACCGUCCGUGCACAUGAGAUCCGGUUUAGGAACUAGUCGUUUUGUGGCUGUGCCCGGUUGAAGAACUUAGGUUGGCAGCACAGAACUUGUGAGAGAAGGUAGAUGAAAAAGAGUCCCCAUCUUUCGCUCCCUGUGUGGACGGGAUCUGAGAAUAAUUCUGGAAAGCGCUCUAUGGCGCGAGAGGGUGGUAAAAGGACUCCUGGUAGAAAACGGAGAGCUGUAACGUAGAGCCACCGCUUCGCCUUACGGAUGGGAAGCUGAGCACAGUCAACCCCGAAAACUUUGACAGGUGCCUAGUAUGAGAUGAGAAAAAAGGGGAAAUAGUUCGUUCUCAGGCCGUUGUGUGAUGAAGGGGUAAACAUAAUUCAAGAGACGUGCUAUGAGAGCACAGGGCAGGGGCGCACAGAGACCAAGGGAAAAUGCCGAGGAGUGCGACCCGGAAGAGGCAGCAUGCCUAAAGUCCUGCCGGGGACAGUAAGAAAGGCGUUCUUCAUCCAGGUUGAGGUGUUGGAGUUUGGGCAGCGACGAGGGCAGAUGAGUUCGGGGUCAGGAUGCAUUCAGCAGGCUUUUGUGCAGUUGGGAUUGGGGUUUUUUGUUUGUUUUGUUUUUUGUUUUUGAAGCUUCAGGAGAGUACCGCCCUUUAUAACCGGCUAGUGCGUUGUGUGAGACAGUAAUGGAGAAGACAUUUCGUGUGAGAAGCACGGAAGUUUUCUGUGUCCAAAAGUUCUAAAGGAUCCAGCGCUCUCUCCUGGCCUCCAAGGGCACCACACAUGAUUUGGUGUCUUCUCCAAACAGUUUGAGCAAAGCAAGACCAGAGAGCCAGCAGGCACAAACCUUGGCCAUGCAGAGACCCUGAGAGCUUCAAAGGGAGCGGCCCUUCUGUGAAGCAGCUAUGUCCUAUCCAUGCACUCAUUGCAGACAAAUCUUGCAGUCUUCUACCACAGUCGCCUUUAACGGCCUUUGGAAAUGACAACAGCAGUCACACCUGCGUUCUCCUACACAUUUCUGUAUGGAAGGACAUUGCAGAGACUAAGAAUUGAAACAGAUUGACACUGGAAAAUCUCUCCACCAGAGAACUGCGCGAACGUGAGGCACAAGAAGAUGUAGUAGUAGAGCACAGGCUAAAGCUUGAGAAUGGAGUUCAACUAAUGAUUGUAUUUAAUAAACGGUGCCAUUUUA
Non-coding RNA from Myodes glareolus (Bank vole), 1665 nucleotides. Lineage: Eukaryota; Metazoa; Chordata; Mammalia; Rodentia; Cricetidae. The record is from RefSeq and is a predicted model, not a curated record.